CUACUGAGCCGGCCGCAGAAAUUGCAGCCGCUCAGCUUCUACCCCCUCCUGCCUUUCCUUCCUCUUUCCUUACUUCCUUCCCUUCCCUCGGCUUCCCGCUCUUGCCUCACUCUCAGCGGCUGCCUUCGCCCCUGUCUGCAGACAGCGCCGCUGGAUGCUCCCAGCUGGACUUCAACCCCACUCCUCUCAGUCCCUCUCCCCACUGCCUUCCAGACGCGCCUCUUCCCCGCCCCGCGCCCCUCUCUCCUCUCCCACCCCUGCCCCUCUCCGCGGCGCUCACCCUCCUCAGUCCCAGUUUCUGAAAGGACUCAGCUGAGAAAGGACAACUGGGUUCCGCUUUCCUUAACCCUACACCCUUUAGCUGGAUGCUGUCAGAGGCGAUGGAGAAACGCAAAGGCUACUAGACGCAACAAUAGAAUUACCAUAUUGUUUUUCCUGGUUUGAAAGGACCAGAUGGAAAGAAACUGGGCAAGCCAAUGAAAGUCUCUGGGGAUCAUGGGAAUUGAGUGUCUAUGAAAACCAUAUUCCAGACAAGAAUAUAGUCUAAGGUUUAUGGGACUCCCCAGUACUCUCCAUGUAGAGUCUAAUGUAGAAUCCAGGAGUGCACAGAAAAGUCACUGGAUGACACAGCAAGAGGCAACAUUUUGGAAGCAGAGGGCAACUCUCACUGGAAACCAAAUCUCCUGGCACCUUGAUCUUGGAUUUUACAGCCUCCAGAACUUUCUCACACUUCCUUUUGAAAGCUAUUAAAAAUCUAUGGCAGAAAAAUGGUCAAGGAAUAGGAACUACAACUUCAUAAAUGAGGAACCAGAAAAGGAUAGCUGGGAGGCAUUACAUAGUCAUGUGCGAGGUCAAAACUGAGUCACCACCACAACCAAGUUCCAGCUGGCAAGAAGAGGAAAAAUAACACAGAGGAGUUAUGACCAGUGUUGUAAGGAUCUGGCCUAGAAAUGGCAUGCAUCUCUUCCACUAAUAUCCUAUUGGUAAAAAUGUAGUCACAUGGGCACACCACCUAUCUGCAUGGAAGGCUGGGAAAUGUUGAUCGGUAGGGCAGCCAUAUGUGUAGGAAGGAGAAAACAGAAUUUGGUGGAUACCUAGUAGUCUCUGCCAUACCCUUGACCAGAAAUUUUUCUUCUAAAGAAUUUAAUUCUAAAAGUUAUAGACAUUCCCAAAGAUAUACCUGCAAGCAUCACAGCUUUGUGUAUAAUUGCAAAAGUUGAAAUCAACAUGAAUGCCCAAAAUAGUGAAUUAUUUAAACAGAUUAUUACCCAUAUUAUGAAGAAAUACUCUGCAACUCUUAAAAAUAAAUGUAAUGUGCCAGGCGCAAUGGGAUAUGCCUGCAGGCCCAGCUACACGGGAGGCCAAGGCAGGAGGAUCACUUGAAAUCAAGAGUUCAAGUCUAGCCUAGACAACAUAGUGAGACUUGGUCUCUAAAAAAGAAAAAAAAAAAUAAAACUGAUGUAAUGAAUAUAUAAUUACAACAAAAGAGGUCUAACACUAUAGUAGAAAAGUUUGGGGCACUCAUCCCAUUCAUAAUUAUUUUACAUUUAAAUUACUGUUCCUACUUAAGUGGUGAGCUUGGUAACCAUUUUCAUAUCAGGUGAUACUGCUGCAGUAAUCAUAGCUGUUUGAAUCAGGAAUAAUCCCAAUCACAUUUUCUCUUAAUCGUUUAUUAUACUGGGCAUUGGGGUUGCAAGAUAAUGCACAGUCCGAGCUCAAUACAUGUCUUCAUGUACCUGUAUGUAAAUCCCACUUUUAUUCUAAAAUUCUUUGAAUAUUUUGUUUCUUGGAACCCAAUGAUCCUAAGAAAAUUAUGUACUUUUACCUGAAAAUUAAAACCAAUAUUUAUAAAAAGUGUAUAUGCAGUAUGAUACCACUUUUAAAAAAAGAUAAAUUUAUAGAAAAAAGUUUAUAUGACUGACAACAAUGUCUCUGAGUGGUAGGAUUACAGUUAAUUUUUAUUUUCUUCAUUCUACUUAUCUUUAUUUUCUGAACUUUCUACAAUGAACAUGUUUUAUUUUUACUUUUGUUAAAAUAAAUAACAUUUAAUUUGACGGAAAAUUCUAAAAAUCAACAUUUGGUAACUUAAAUAUUCAUUGGCACAUGAUUCUGUGCCUGUUUCUGGGGGUCAUUCCCAUGAGAAGAGCAGGUAGAACUUAUGAGAAUAGAGCAGUCGAAAUAUUAUAGGUUUCAUAUUUUACGGCUUUAUUGAAAACAUUGAUAUAUUGAAUAUUCAUAAAUUUUAAUUUAACUUUCUUUUAUAAUCCUUAAUGUGAGGCUAAGGUAUAAGGAGAAAGGAGAUUGGUAAGGAAGUGUGAUACAUAUUGAAUCAGGUGUCAAGGUACCAUUUGUGCCUGGAUCUGACCAAUAGACCAAGGUAAAAAUCUCAAAGAAUGAGACUUGUAAUGAGAAUGCCACAAACUUGAAUACCUUAUGCACAAAACACAAACAUUGUUAUGCAUAAUGUACAUGAACCCUGAAACAAAGAUAAUGAUUUGGACCACCCAACUGAAGUGGCAUGUUAUGUUUUUGGCAUGAACAAAAGAAACAAGAGAGAAAAAAAUCAAAAUAAUUAAAAUAAAUUGUUAGAGAAAAGUUACUUUAAAAAUAGCUAUAACGCUUUGCAAUUUCAGUAACAGUUCUGCCUCUGAUGCAAUGUAAAACAUGUAUUAGACAUUCAGGCUCCACAAUAAAUUUUAAUGAGCACUACAAAUUUAGAAUAUAUAAAAAUAUCAGUAACCUAUGAAUUCAUCAACAUAACUCACUUUUCAGUUAAGUUAGGCUGAGUUGAAAUUCUACUAAGUUUUCCCAUAUUCUUGAUAAAGGCUAAAUUUGAAAUAAUUUAUUUAGAUGACUAAUUGGCAAUUUGAUAGUAGUUACAUUUUAUGUAACACUUGAUAUAAUAACCCAAAUUAAUUAGCUCAAUAUUAUCUUCUGUGGUUUAUUGAUCCAAAAGUACAUAUUUGUUAUGUAAACUUAUACUAUGUAAACUUGAAUUAGUUUUUUGCUUCCUUGAAUUAAUAAAGCCCAUUAAUGCAAAUCUAAGCCUUCAUAGACUUUUCCAAUCCUUAGUUAAAUAUUAAAAACUGAGUAUUGUAGUUAUUUGCUAGGUAUAAAAGGUGACUCAGAGUAGAGAGUAAGAUGUCAGCAAAUAGACAAUAAGAUGUCAGCAAAAGUGCCUCAAAUUUUAACUGCGUCAAGUUAAGGGCAUUGUAAAUACUGUAGUUUUAUGUAGCUUGCAACUUCUACUGAAAUGAGUUUAAUCAUGUCUUUCACAUAGCUGAAGUUUGUGUCAAGAUUUAAGCUGAUUUUCUCAUUCUUAUCAAAGUCUCACCUGGGGGUAGGGAGGGGUAGGCCUACCUCCCACCUCUAUACUAUCAUUUUAGGAACAGACAGGCAUAAAUCUGUUCAUAUGGUAGAACACAUGAUGUUAGAGUAUAUUUUGUUGAAUGCUAUGGAAUAUUAAUAUAAUUAAUUCUAAAAUAUCACCUAAAAUAUGUCAACUGAAGAUCUGACUGUACUAAAUAUGAAAAAUAAAGCAGCACAUACUUUCAAAAAAAAAAAAAA
This 3567-nucleotide long non-coding RNA is filed under the name Homo sapiens (human). Its description in RNAcentral is "WDFY3 antisense RNA 2, transcript variant 7 (WDFY3-AS2)". Lineage: Eukaryota; Metazoa; Chordata; Mammalia; Primates; Hominidae. The record is from RNAcentral.